Molecule: RNA transcript, 2331 nt
Organism: Nicotiana tabacum (common tobacco)
Lineage: Eukaryota; Viridiplantae; Streptophyta; Magnoliopsida; Solanales; Solanaceae
Gene name: putative protein phosphatase 2C 43
Source: RefSeq, a predicted model, not a curated record
ACACAAUCGCCAAGUCGCCAACCCCACCCCCUCCUCUCUCCCGGGGCCCCCGCAAAACCCCCCAAAACCUUCUCUUUCUCUACAAGAAUCCCUUCUUUCUGUUGCAAUUUCACACAUCUCUUUAUCUCUCUACUCUUUCUCUCUCUAUAACUACACACAACUCCAAGAAAAGAAAAAGAUUCCUUUUAAAACUCUUCCAUUUUAAUCUACAUUGAUCACUUUUGUUGUGCUUUCGUUGAACCGUUUAUGGCAUUGAUAUAAAAACAGAGGUUUUUCUAUUGAAUUUACAGUAUUCUGAAUUCAAAAUUCAGUUUUUUCUGAAUUUGGGGGUUUCCAUUUACUGCUGAAAUAUUGGGGUUUUUUUUUGGUUCAAUCUUGAUUUUUACUGUUGUUUGUUUGAGUGUGUAAAAAAGGAAAUGAAGGAUGUUUUCCUGGCUGGUAAGGACGGUAUCAGCAUGUUUUCGGCCAUUGAGUCGAUAUGUCCCUAUGAGCAAGGAUGAAGAGGAUGUUUUUGUGCGAGGUGAAGAUGAUGUGCUUUUAUGGUGUAGAGACCUUGAGAAACAUUCAUGUGGGGAGUUUUCUUUUGCUGUAGUCCAAGCUAAUUCAGUACUUGAAGAUCAUAGCCAAGUUGAUACAGGUCGUGAAGCUACUUUUGUUGGGAUUUAUGAUGGACAUGGUGGCCCUGAGGCUUCAAGAUUUGUCCGUGAUCACCUUUUCCUGCAUUUAAUAAGGCUUGCCCGAGAAAAUGGAACAAUAGAUGAAGAAGUGCUUAAAAAUGCGUUCGCUGCAACUGAAGUUGGCUUUCUUUCUCUUGUGAGAAGGGCAUUUGGUAUUACACCAUUAAUUGCGACAAAGGGUUGCUGCUGUCUGGUUGGUGUUAUCUGGAAAAGGACGUUGUAUGUUGCUAACCUUGGUGAUUCUAGAGUGGUAUUAGGUCAUAUAGAGAGAUCAAAUAAAAUUUUUGCUGAGCAAUUGACCAAGGAUCAUAAUGCCAGUAUCGAGGAGGUUAGGAAGGAACUGAUGUCGUUGCACCCAGACGAUUCACGCAUUGUGGUUAAUGUCAAUGGAGCAUGGCGUGUUAAAGGCAUCAUACAGGUAUCUAGAUCAAUUGGAGAUGCAUAUCUGAAGAAGCCAGAGUUUGCUGUUGGUCCAGCUCACCCACGAUUCCAUCUUAAAGAACCACUUAUUCGGCCAGUGCUAAGAGCUGAUCCAUCUGUAUGUUCAAGAAACUUACAACCCGGUGAUAGAUUUCUUAUAUUUGCUUCUGACGGGCUGUGGGAACUCAUAAGUAAUCAAAAGGCUGUCGAGAUUGUGCAUAAUAACCCUAGAGAGGGCAUCGCAAGAAGACUUAUUAUAUCAGCCCUGGAUGAGGCCGCAAGGAGAAGGAAGUUGAAGUACGAUGACCUUAAGAAGUAUGACAAGGGUGCGAGGAGGGCCUUUCAUGAUGAUAUAACAGUUGUUGUCAUCUUUAUAGAUCAUGAGAUGUUGGAAGGAAAACAAUCUGUGCCUGAACUGUCAGUUCGAGGAUUUAUAGAUACUCAUGGACCAUCAGAUUUCAAUAUCCUCCAAGAGGUUGCUAUGAAGACAAAUUCUCUCAAGUGAAACAUACCAAACAAGUUGUUGGCUCUUCUUCUUUUCUAAGGAAGCCCGGGUGCAGGAAGUUUCUGACGCCCCCCUUUUCGCUUUGUUUUCCAAUUUACAGUUGACAUACAGUCCAGAUGAACGGCAAGACUAUCAAGUUACCUGCUUUACACAUGCCCCCACCCCUAGGUCAUUGGCGACCUACUUGCUCUAAAGUUUUGAUGUACACAAAUUUUCUGUACAAGACACGCUGAGAAAACUGCCUUCUGUUGUUUGUGUACCGCAUAUCUGUCAAAGUAAGGCCAUAAAAGUAGGCAUUGUGAUUGAAAAUCAGGGGUGCUUAACUGUCUUGCAUGUAAUCUUGACUUGCUGCACAGCAUAAGCUUGUCGCCGCGGAAGGGGUAUUUGACACUUUGGCGUGCAUUUUGCUUGCCGGAUUCGCGUUGUGAUCGAAAAAGCAACGUAUGCUGUUUCAGAUUCGUGCACAUGAAACACCACAUUUUUGUCAUUAAACAAUGGAGUAUCUUGUAAGGAUUUCCAACUUGUUAUAAAAGCAGCUAGGCAGAAACUCAAGCUGCUGCUGCAUUCCUCUCUGUGCACAUGCACAUGCACAUGCACAUACACACCCCAGGAGGCUUUAUCAAUCUUCUCCCUCUUUCUGAUAAUACCCAUGAACAUGUUUGUCUGGAUUUGUAAUAAGCUAUAGCAAUUCAGUUGCAUACUCUUCUAUCUUUAUGAAAAUUUUGAGUU